This 253-nucleotide ribosomal RNA is filed under the name uncultured bacterium. RNAcentral describes it as "partial 16S ribosomal RNA". It matches the Rfam family "Bacterial small subunit ribosomal RNA", at positions 524 to 776 of the family's 1533-position model. The record is from RNAcentral.
UACGUAGGGGGCAAGCGUUAAUCGGAAUUACUGGGCGUAAAGCGUGCGCAGGCGGCUAUGCAAGACAGAUGUGAAAUCCCCGGGCUCAACCUGGGAACUGCAUUUGUGACUGCAUAGCUAGAGUACGGUAGAGGGGGAUGGAAUUCCACGUGUAGCAGUGAAAUGCGUAGAUAUGCGGAGGAACACCGAUGGCGAAGGCAAUCCCCUGGACCUGUACUGACGCUCAUGCACGAAAGCGUGGGGAGCAAACAGG